GGAAGGAGAAGUCGUAACAAGGUUUCCGUAGGUGAACCUGCGGAAGGAUCAUUGUCGAGACCGAAACUAUAUCGAGCGAUUCGGAGAACCCGUGAAAUAAGCGGCGGCGGCAGUCGCCGCGAAACAGCCGUCCCCGCCGUCGCCCCCCCUCGUCUGGAGGGGGCCGCGACGGGGCACGGCUGAAACCCCAAACCGGCGCAGAUUGGCGCCAAGGUAACUAUCGAAAAGCACGAGCCCGGCAUCGGGUCUUCGUGGGGCGGAGCGGUGUUAGCGCACCACACGUAUUGACACGACUCUCGACAAUGGAUAUCUCGGCUCUCGCAUCGAUGAAGAGCGCAGCGAAAUGCGAUACGUGGUGCGAAUUGCAGAAUCCCGCGAACCAUCGAGUCUUUGAACGCAAGUUGCGCCCGAGGCCAAUCGGUCGAGGGCACGUCCGCCUGGGCGUCAACCGCCGCGUCGCUCCGUGCCAAGUCCCCACCGUUCCCACCGCAGUGGGGGUGCCGGGCGAGGCUCGGAUGUGCAGAGUGGCCCGUCGUGCCCACCGGUGCGGCGGGCUGAAGAGCGGGUUAUCUUCUCAUUGGCCACGAACAACGAGGGGUGGAUGAAAGCUGCCGCGGGCGAGGCCCGCGUUGUCUCGUGCCGGCCCGAGUGAAGAUUACACCCUCCGUGCGAUCCCAUCCCACGCGCCGCCCCCGUGCGGCGGCUUGGAAUGCGACCCCAGGAUGGGCGAGACCACCCGCCGAGUUUAAGCAUAUCAAUAAGCGGAGGAAAAG
RNAcentral lists this ribosomal RNA (773 nucleotides) under Holcoglossum omeiense. RNAcentral describes it as "eukaryotic LSU rRNA". The stretch from base 292 to 447 matches the Rfam family "5.8S ribosomal RNA". Lineage: Eukaryota; Viridiplantae; Streptophyta; Magnoliopsida; Asparagales; Orchidaceae. The record is from RNAcentral.